Molecule: long non-coding RNA, 396 nt
Filed under: Elaeis guineensis (African oil palm)
Lineage: Eukaryota; Viridiplantae; Streptophyta; Magnoliopsida; Arecales; Arecaceae
Description: long non-coding RNA (EGUI_LNC004882)
Source: RNAcentral
GCUGGAGGAAAUCUCAAGUUAAUUAUGAUGCUUAAAAUAUUUAUUAGAAUCAUAUAUAUCAACUAUUUUCAAGUCUUACAGCUCAACGUAUAUUUAACAUUACAACAUUGUCUCAAAUUAGGGCAACCUGUUAUAUAAUGUAGCUAUUGGCUCUCUUUUUCUUGGAAUGGGGUAAGGAAGGAGAAUAAGUUAAAUAAAUCAACUUUGAGGUGAGAUAUAAUAAAGAGGUCUUCACCCCAGUCAUUUUGCUCCAAAACACUUCACCACAUCUCGAGCCCUUAGCUUAAACAUAUCUUGUAGCCAUGCCAUGUUAAUUCAGUGUUGGUUUAUCCUUCCAAGGAGUACUACCUUUCUAGGUAGUAUGAUAAUCUUCUUGUUGGUUAGUAUAGCCCUAGG